Molecule: long non-coding RNA, 686 nt
Organism: Spinacia oleracea (spinach)
Lineage: Eukaryota; Viridiplantae; Streptophyta; Magnoliopsida; Caryophyllales; Amaranthaceae
Exons: 2
Source: RefSeq, a predicted model, not a curated record
UAAUUCUCUCUCCUCCCUAUACUCAAACCCACAAGAAAUAACUUACAUCAUAUUUUCCACUCUUCUGUUCACGUGAAAAACUCAAACCCUCCUCUUUGCCUUUUUUUCGCACAUCACCACCACAACCGCCGCAGCGUCGCCGGCCAGUUCCUCCGCGGCGCCGCCCUACCACCAGCGAGCCUCACCCUUCUUUCACCCUCUCGUUCUUCCUUUCUAUUUUCUCCCCUUUUGCUUGCUGCUUGGCUUGCUUCUCUUGACAACCACCACAGUACCACCUCACAGCCGCCCUUGUCGCGCAGCGCCGCCGAGCCGCGGCCAACCUCCCUCAUUUCUCCUCCCACACGCAGAAUCAAUCCUCCUCUUCGUUGCUUUCUUGCUCCACAUGCACCACCAUUAGCACGAGUCGCAGCCACCCAGCGACCACCGGUGCACCACCUGAUUGUCGCCAGCCACCGCGCCGCCCAGUCCUUGCUGCCGCACUUGCACCACCGUCGGCCAUCACUCCCUCUUCUCUUCUCUUUUGUCUCCAAGGAUCAAUAAGCGUUGUCCAUCUACAGGUUCGAAGAUGAUGCAUCAUUGGGUUCGGGAUUGGAGAGCUUGUAGUUUAGUUGUAAUUUUCUAAGUUGGAUUUGGUUUGGUUUAAACGGACUUUAAACUUGUUGAAUUAGUUCGCUGACUUUGCUUUU